AAUCCACCUGGUCCACUCUCUGAGUCUACAGUAUGACUGGUCCGCCCGCACCGGGCCUUCAGUCGGCCUGGUCCACUCUCCGAGCCUCGGCACGUCUGGUCCGCCCUCUUGGGGCCUACAGCCUAUCCGGACCGCUCGCUGGGCCUUCGGAACAACCGGUCCGCCCUGGGUAUCUUGGCCUACAGCACAAAGCAGGACCCGCCUCAACCCAACUCCAGUCCAAACAACCAUGUGCACAUAUACAUACAAUCAUAUAGCAAUUCACAGUCAACAAGCAGAUCAAACAGAUCACAUAACAUAUCAUCAUCCUAACCAGGAUACCGACCUAACAGGUCACUAGCAUAGCAUCUCCCUAUCUCUCAGGAUACCGAUCUCAAUCAGGUCUCUAACAUAUACCAUCCUAGCUCUCAGGAUGCAAACAUAUCAUAGCAACAACAUAACAACAACUACCCGGAUCUCAAUCCGAUAAGGGCCGGCCUUGGUGCCUUAGACCCUGUUGAUAUAGUGAGGAUAACUCACCUCGAAACUGCCGGCUGAAAGGAUAAGAUCCCGCUGCUCCAAGCUCCGACACGAACUCCUCCACUGAACACCAACACACUCAACUCAAUAAAUACCCUUAAUUACCAAAAUACCCCUGAAAGACAACUGGUCAACCUUUGGACAAGGUCAAAGUCAACCCCUGACUGACUCUACUCGCCGAGUCAACCCGAUGACUCGCCGAGUCCCCAUACUCAGAACUUCCCUCAAUCCGCGACCUAACUCGCCGAGUCACCCCGAGACUCGUCGAGUCCAACAACUCUGAGUCCACUCGCCCACAACUCACCGAGUCAUCCCUUGACUCGCCGAUUCUCGACUCAACCAGAAAAUAUUGGGACUCUUCGACAAGACUCGCCGAGUCCAAGAACAGACUCGCCGAGUCUAAGGCUAUCUUCAACCUACUCGCCGAGUUGUUCAUACAACUCGCCGAGUUCCAGGCCAUCUUCAUCCAACUCGCCGAGUUGUUCUUCCAACUCGUCGAGUUCCAGCUCAUCUUCAAGCAACUCGUCGAGUCCACCCAUGUGACUCGCCGAGUACCACCGGUCUGAAUCCAUACAGAAGCAUUCCAGGCCAUGCAAUUGAUCCAAAACAUAGAUCUAGCCUCCUACAACCCAUCCAUCAUGUAAAGUGGCAAACUUUACAUGAAUCCAAAGAGAUCUAUGCAUUUUGCACAUUAGGGCUAAGGUUUGGGACAUGAUAGCUUCACCCAACACUCAACACAGGGACUUUAUGCACAUUAGGACCAUCACCACUCCAGAUCUGAGGUAGCAACCUCAGAUCUAACUUCCAAACUCCAAAACAUACCAAGAUAAGCUCCCCACAAACCCCAAAAUGAUGAAUCCAUAAGAGUAACAGCCCAAGGACGAGAUAUUACCUCAAAAGAACGCCCCAACUGCAAUGGAACUCGAAUCCAAGCAAAGCCCCUUGCUCCAAGCCUCCUACCCUUCAAGAUUUCCUCAACAAUUGCUUCUCCAAGCUCCCAAAUGCAACUUGAUCCACUCACAUACGAAGGUUAGGGUUUCUGGACUUGAGGAUGAGUAAAGAGGCUGGGGGAAUGGAUGUUAUGUUCUUUAUAUAGGGCUCAACCCCGAGAAUUAGGGUUUUCUCCACUCAGCGCCUACUCGCCGAGUCCAUCUUACUGACUCGCCGAGUCGGCUACUUAACACGCGACCAAGUCGCGACUCUACUCGCCGAGUCCACCCAUGGACUCGCCGAGUCGCUCUUUCCCAAUUUACUCUUUUAGCCCUUCAACUCUACUCUUGAUAUUUCGGGAUGUUACAAUUCUCCCCCACUUAAAUUAGGCUUCGUCCUCGAAGCCUACGGCAACUCAACUCCAAAAUACUCCCCCGACGCGCCACCUGGCCCUAACCGGACCAGGUUCCUCAAGGCAUAACCAUCAAAACUCGAACUCAUUUCCUCUAUCCUUGCGUUGUCUAGACCACCGUCUCAAACAGGGCACCGGCUGUACCCUCUGAUAAUCACACUCAACAAUCAAGAAUUACCCAAGAUGCAUCACUGCACCAAAUCACAACCAUCACUCGACCCAUAUGAGCUAGAAAACCAUGAACCAUCGGAUCCCCGAUCCGAAUCCCACUCUAUCCAUUCCAUGCUGACGGAAAGACCCAUUCUUCAAUCUCAGAGCAACUCCCACGAGUUCUCCUCUUGCAAUCACAUACACAUGCUGAACUAGCUCUAGCACCCUCAGGUUGGGAAAACCCGAUACACUGAUGAUAUCCUCAAACAUCCCCCAGGAUGAACCACUAAUACAUACCCAAUUCCCUGAUCAGAAUCACACUGAGAGCCCAAGACUCUCUCCCUGCAUCCCUUCCGAGCCUCUUGGCUCUACACCUGCGGAAUUCCCUCCGCGACCUCAGCAGACAUCCCAAACCGGAUGUGCUUCUAUUACACUACCGCAAACACGCUGCUCAAUAACCAUACUCGAAUUGCUCUAAUCAUAACUCUGCUCUGCCGCUUUCACUUUCGUGAACUUGCACUCCCUCUCGGAGUUACACACCUCUCUCUUUUCCUUUACCAAGGAAUCCACUUGGCCACACUGCCACUCCGACAAGUGCCACGGUGCUUGCCCAACGCUACACCACCCUUUUAUAGCGUAUCCGCUAUCCAUCCAACACACAUACUCUGACUCUCAUCGCAGGGACUCUCAAGCCCAUGCACUAUCUCAACUAAUCAAGAUCACUACCCGGGGCCAGACCUUCUAAUGCAAUCACACUGCAACAUACACAAUCCAUAUCCUCGAACCGAUCCAACAAUACCUGUAGAGUCUUCAGCAUGACAGGACCGCCUCACCAGGCCUUCAGCCAAUCUGGACCACUCUCAGAACCUUCAGCCAAUCUGGACCGCUCUCAGUGCCUUCAGUUAGGCUGGACCGUUCUCCGAGCCUUCGGCAUGACUGGUACGCCUACCGGCCUUCAGUCUAUCCGGACCGCUCAACUAGCAUUCAUCAUUCCGAGCUAUCUCUCCCGGAAAUCCUCCCAUGCAUGCUGUUCUAGCCCUUUAAGGGUUCCGAACUCUGUCUCAAUCACACAUGCUCGAUCUCGGCCUGCUCCCAGGCCCUCCACAAUCGAAUACCCUAGGUAUGUAUUCCACCCCGCAUGCCCGACACUUGCUCCUACCAGCCUACACUCUGGACUGACGGAACACUGCUGAAUCCCAACAGCUAAGCACCCUCAAAUAAUCCUCGAUCUCCCAGAGAAUUUUCCAAUUCUCCCCCAUUUGUAGCACUGAUUAACAACCACCGGUUGCCAUCAUCGACCUCCCAGAACAACUCUACACAAAACCAACACUUACACGCGGACUGAUUUACACAGGCAUAAACAACCUUGACAAGAUCCCACAUCAACACUGAUAACCCGCUCGAAAGAAAUUCAACCUGCAUCUAACCACUCCUCAGAAAGCAGAUGCUACCCGGCCUUCAACCCAAUGUCAGGUUUCCACUAAUAACCUUCAUGGAUGAUAACCAAUGAAAUUCCCAAAACAAUAACCUAUAACCAACCCAAAACUCUCAAAACGACGAAUACCGCAUCGAAAACCACACAAAGAUACCAGCACAUAAACAAAACACCACAAAAAUCACAAGAUAACAAGAUAUCAAGAAAUAAACAUACCCGCAGCUGCAUUUGGCACUGCUCUGACCUCUUCUGCCGCAAGCUGAUAAGCAUGACCCUGAGCCCUUGGGGGCUCCGCUCCACCCUGACCUCCGCCUGUGAUCCUCAAAGUGGCCGGUGCUGGAGCCUGCACCGGUCCUGCAGCAAGCUGUGGACAGUUGACCCUCAAAUGUCCAACCUGAUGACAAUGAUAACAAAUCCUCAAAUCCCGAACCGGCGCUGACUGCCGACAAUCCCUCGCAUAGUGCCCCUCCUUUCCGCACUUGCGGCAUGCACCACCGGACCUACAAACUCCGGUGUGACCCCUCCCACACUUCCCACAAGUGUAGCUGCUCAGAUCCCCCACUCUAACAUCAACGGUCUUGGACCGUUUCAGCACCGGCUGUGACUGCACCGGAGCCUGCCUCAGCUCACGCAAUUGCAACUCAAUCUCUAACUCACGCCGCCUAGCGGCCUCCUGCAACUCCAACAAGGUAUUGCACCUCUGGGUAGACACAAACUGUCUGAUAUCUCUCUUGAGCAUGCUCAGAUAUCAAGACAUCUGAGCCUUCUCCGAAGCGAACUCUGGGCAAAACAUUGCCCUCUCAGUGAACAUCCUGGUGAUCUCAGUCACCAACUCCGAACCCUACUUCAGCUCAAGGAACUCCUGAGCCAAUCUAUCCUUCUCAACUUGCGGAACAUAACGAGUGCUGAACAUCUCCCUGAACUGAUCCCAUGAAACCGCAGCCCUCUACACAUCCGAAUAUGACCCCGUGGUCAAUCUCCACCAAUCCUUCGCCCCGAGCCUCAACAGGUUUAGAGCACACCUCACCCUCUGAUCAGCAGGGCAUGAACACGUGAAGAAACACCCCUCCACAUCCGAUAACCAUCUCAUAGCAACAAUCGGGUCCUGAACUCCAUCAAAGGUGGGAGGCUUCGUAUUAUCGAAGUCCCGAUACUGAAAACCCCGACCAGCUCCUCCCCCUGCCGCUGCUACAGCCGUUGUAGCCGCCACGGCAGCCGUCUCUGUGAGAGCUGCAUAGCGCUCAUCAAAAUACUCAACCAUGGCGGUCUUGAUCGACCCAUACAGCUCCGACAACUCAGCCCGGAACAACUCAGCAAUCUCCUCAUGCAGGAUCUCAUGAAUCCUCGCAUCCAACUCGCACAUACUCAUCUGACCGAUAACCUCGGGCGGUACUAACCCGCCCGGAACUCCCUCUCCUGCUCUCGAUCCUAAUCCGGAUCCACUCUCAUCAUGCCUCGGAAUCUCCAUACUGAAAAAAAUAACACCACACAAAAUCUCAGACUCUUCCCACUAUCCUGGGAUCCAACUCUCUCAACCCAACCCUAGAGAUCAUGGUUUCCCUGAUACGCGUAUGGGUCCUGUGCUUUCAGUAGUACGGGCCCAUACUACCUUCCACACCUACCCAUAUUUGUAUGAAGUACUACCACAACACCCUAGAGAAACAUGCAUAACAACGCUCAACCCUCACCACUAGAGGAACACUGAAAAUCUCCCAUAAGGAACCCUAGGCUACAGGCAUCACAAAUCAGGCAACAUUAUCAUGAAAUCCUGAAGAUCCCUAGCCUAUCACUAGCAUGUUGUUCUAUCAAAGCUCAAAAACAAAUAACAUGCAUGGUAUUUUGGGGUUACUUACUGGCUCCGGCUGAUCGUACCUCCGCGUCCUCCCUUACUCAUUUUGAAAACCAUUUUAAAUACUCUUUUGAAAACUCUCCUCGAUUUGAGACUGGAGUCACACGAGUGUUCCUCCAAUUCACUCAAACCAAGGCUCUGAUACCAACUUGUAACGACCGAAAAAUACAACCAAUUUUAAAUUUUUCAAAAAAAGCUCGAUUCCAUUAAAUCUUUACAAAAAGGUUUUCAAUACAAAACAUUUAACGUAUUCCCAGAAUCACAUUACUACAAAAUCAUGAGGAGCGGUACGAUCACGCCUUCGCCUUGCCACGGUCUCCUGAAGAACCUGAAAAACAUAAAACCACAACUGUAAGCCCGAAAGCUUAGUGAGAUAUCCCCAAAAUACCAACCACAUAUACCAUACACGCAUAACAUGCCACAACAUAUCUGAUCACAGAACAGCCAUGCACUUCGGGUCUACUGUGUGACUGGUCCGCCGCACCGGCCUACAGUCCACCUGGUCCACCCUCUGAGUCUAGCCAUAAACCUCGAGUCUACAGUGUGAUUGGUCCGCCCGCACCGGGCCUUCAAUCCACCUGGUCCACUCUCCGAAUCUAACCACAUACAUCGAGUCUGCAGUGUGAUUGGUCCGCCCGCACCGGGCCUUCAAUCCACCUGGUCCACUCUCUGAGUCUACAGUAUGACUGGUCCGCCCGCACCGGGCCUUCAGUCGGCCUGGUCCACUCUCCGAGCCUCGGCACGUCUGGUCCGCCCUCUUGGGGCCUACAGCCUAUCCUGACCGCUCGCUGGGCCUUCAGGACAACCGGUCCGCCCUGGGUAUCUUGGCCUACAGCACAAAGCAGGACCCGCCUCAACCCAACUCCAGUCCAAACAACCAUGUGCACAUAUACAUACAAUCAUAUAGCAAUUCACAGUCAACAAGCAGAUCAAACAGAUCGCAUAACAUAUCAUCAUCCUAACGAGGAUACCGACCUAACAGGUCACUAGCAUAGCAUCACCCUAUCUCUCAGGAUACCGAUCUCAACCAGGUCUCUAACAUAUACCAUCCUAGCUCUCAGGAUGCAAACAUAUCAAAGCAAUAACAUAACAACAACUACCCGGAUCUCAAUCCGAUAAGGGUCGGCCUUGGUGCCUUAGACCUUGUUGAUAUAGUGAGGAUAACUCACCUCGAUACUGCCGACUGAACAGAUAACCCAAGCUGCUCCGACCACUGAUACGAUCUCCACCACUGGACAACCACCAAGGCACUCAAAAGAACGCCCCAACUGCAAUGGAACUCGAAUCCAAGCAAAGCCCCUUGCUCCAAGCCUCCUACCCUUCAAGAUUUCCUCAACAAUUGCUUCUCCAAGCUCCCAAAUGCAACUUGAUCCACUCACAUACGAAGGUUAGGGUUUCUGGACUUGAGGAUGAGUAAAGAGGCUGGUGAAU
RNAcentral lists this long non-coding RNA (6726 nucleotides) under Lactuca sativa (garden lettuce). Its description in RNAcentral is "long non-coding RNA (LSAT_LNC000370)". The record is from RNAcentral. Lineage: Eukaryota; Viridiplantae; Streptophyta; Magnoliopsida; Asterales; Asteraceae.